AGUGAACGCUGGCGGCGUGCUUAACACGUGCAAGUCGAACGAGAACGGGUUAUAGCUUGCUAUAAUUGUCAGCUAAGUGGCGCACGGGUGAGUAAUGUAUAGGUAAUAUGCCUCUUACUAAGGGAUAACAAAUGGAAACGUUUGCUAAUACCUUAUACUCCUUAUUAACAGAAGUUAAUAAGGGAAAGAUUUAUUGGUAAGAGAUUAGCCUGUAUUGUAUCAGUUAGUUGGUGAGGUAAUGGCUUACCAAGACUAUGACACAUAACUGGUUUGAGAGGAUGAUCAGUCACACUGGAACUGAGACACGGUCCAGACUCCUACGGGAGGCAGCAGUGGGGAAUAUUGCACAAUGGACGAAAGUCUGAUGCAGCAACGCCGCGUGGAGGAUGACACAUUUCGGUGCGUAAACUCCUUCUAUAUGAGAAGAUAAUGACGGUAUUAUAUGAAUAAGCACCGGCUAACUCCGUGCCAGCCGCCGCGGUAA
RNAcentral lists this ribosomal RNA (484 nucleotides) under uncultured bacterium. RNAcentral's name for it is "partial 16S ribosomal RNA". It matches the Rfam family "Bacterial small subunit ribosomal RNA", at positions 29 to 523 of the family's 1533-position model. The record is from RNAcentral.